ACAGCCGAGAUUAACGAGUUCGCUCCGCAACAGGCACAAACACUGCUCAAGUAUAAAAACACGACACCUGGUUCACUUCCUGUGGUGCCUGUUCAUCGGCUUUAAUUUGAAGUGCGAGCAGGAAGGAAAAAGGAUGGGGGUACAGAGAUCACAGAUUUUCUGAGCGCCAUUCCUGGGAUCUGCUUUCAUAGUUAUAAUUAAACUCUUGGACUAAGUACAACUUUGUGUCUACGUGGUUUUUCAAAUGAACACUUCUGCGGGAGGGGUUAUGAAACAAGGUGAUUCAAAAGCACGGUCUGCUGUUCCACAUUUACAGAGUGAAUGAAUAUCCACAAACAGAGAAUGAAAUGAGGAAACAUUUAUUCGUAUUCUCAUGAUUAUACAAAAGGACUGGGCUGAAUUUCAUUCAAUCUGCUGCAGGGAGACAUCUCGGAUACCCUGCUGGGAGGUGAGGGGAGCUUACAGGUCUGUGAGCAGAAGUGUCCCAUUCAGGGUGAAAAGACUGGCCCUGCACACCAGCCUGACUCCCUGCAGGAGCCCAUAAUGAGUGAUUGUCCAACGUGACAUAGAUUCAGAGAGCAGGUGCUGCAACUUGAGUGUGGACUGCUGCAAGCUGGUGCUCCACUGCUUGACUCCAUAAGGAGCACAGACGGGAAGUCAAUCACCACAAAAGUGAACAGCAAGCAUAGGCUUCUGUGUUUGCAUUAGAAUCCCAAACUUAGUGACAUUUUAACAGCAAAAAGUUACACUUUCAACUGCUUUUCCUGAAUAAGGCUGGAGACUUCUUUCCUCAGUGCUGGUAACUUCCCAUGCAGCUUCUUGUGAAGCCAGAUGUGAAAUCAACUUUUUCUUGUAAUUGGUAAAAACAAAAUGAAAACUUCAAAUAUAAAAUGGUUCACCUUGAAAUGACCAAUUUUCCUUCUGAUUUUGCUAUAUUUUUUUUCUAUGUCCUUUAAAUCAUUUGCAAAACUAUGUUGUUGCCUCCUUCAUUCUGACUGUAGAUUCACACUAUGGAUCUUUCAAAAAUUAGUGCCUGUCAUCCUGUUUCACAUUCACUGUUCAGGUGCAGUAAAUGUUAAAAGGUGCUUUGGUAGGAUACAACAUGCCACAUUGAUAUCACAUACAUCACUGUCAAACAACUUACUGACGUGCAGAUUGGGAUCGACAGUCCCCGGUAGCUCCAGACAUAUAGGUGUACUUCAUCUAGAUCAGGGGUGGGCAAACUUUUUGACUUGUGGGCCACAAAGGGUUCUAAAAUUUGACAGGGGGGCCGGACCAGGAGCAGAUGGACGGUGUUUUGGUAAUACACCUCAUAAGAGAAAAUAAAAUAUCAUGGGAUAUGUAGAAAACAUGUGCUUUAAUUUCAAUUGAAAAUG
Hypanus sabinus (Atlantic stingray) is the source of this 1376-nucleotide long non-coding RNA. RefSeq lists it as uncharacterized. Lineage: Eukaryota; Metazoa; Chordata; Chondrichthyes; Myliobatiformes; Dasyatidae. The record is from RefSeq and is a predicted model, not a curated record. The transcript has 3 exons.